This 253-nucleotide ribosomal RNA is filed under the name uncultured bacterium. RNAcentral describes it as "partial 16S ribosomal RNA". It matches the Rfam family "Bacterial small subunit ribosomal RNA", at positions 524 to 776 of the family's 1533-position model. The record is from RNAcentral.
UACGUAGGGUGCGAGCGUUAAUCGGAAUUACUGGGCGUAAAGCGUGCGCAGGCGGUUUUGCAAGACAGAUGUGAAAUCCCCGGGCUUAACCUGGGAACUGCAUUCGUGACUGCAAGGCUAGAGUGUGUCAGAGGGAGGUGGAAUUCCGCGUGUAGCAGUGAAAUGCGUGGAGAUGCGGAGGAACACCGAUGGCGAAGGCAGCCUCCUGGGAUAACACUGACGCUCAUGCACGAAAGCGUGGGGAGCAAACAGG